UCGGGAAUUUUGGGCAAUGGGCGAAAGCCUGACCCAGCAACGCCGCGUGAAGGAUGAAGUAUUUCGGUAUGUAAACUUCGAAAGAAUAGGAAGAAUAAAUGACGGUACUAUUUAUAAGGUCCGGCUAACUACGUGCCAGCAGCCGCGGUAAUACGUAGGGUGCAAGCGUUAAUCGGAAUUACUGGGCGUAAAGCGUGCGCAGGCGGUUAUAUAAGACAGAUGUGAAAUCCCCGGGCUCAACCUGGGACCUGCAUUUGUGACUGUAUAGCUAGAGUACGGUAGAGGGGGAUGGAAUUCCGCGUGUAGCAGUGAAAUGCGUAGAUAUGCGGAGGAACACCGAUGGCGAAGGCAAUCCCCUGGACCUGUACUGACGCUCAUGCACGAAAGCGUGGGGAGCAAACAGGAUUAGAUACCCACGUAGUCCCUGAGCGGGCUGGCAAGGCGCAU
RNAcentral lists this ribosomal RNA (447 nucleotides) under uncultured bacterium. RNAcentral's name for it is "bacterial SSU rRNA". It matches the Rfam family "Bacterial small subunit ribosomal RNA", at positions 355 to 825 of the family's 1533-position model. The record is from RNAcentral.